AAUCGAAAUUGAUGAUGUCGCUUCGCCUUUGGAUGACUCUAAAAAUUCUGAAUGUUUAGCUGUGACUAAUGAAAUAAAAUCAGAAGAUUUUAUAAAAACAGAACCCGAAGAUGUCGCUCCGAUUAUGAAGACAGACGUGCACGACGACUUUAAAAGUAGCGAAAAUGAAUCUGCC
Sitophilus oryzae (rice weevil) is the source of this 175-nucleotide long non-coding RNA. RefSeq lists it as uncharacterized. The transcript has 3 exons. Lineage: Eukaryota; Metazoa; Arthropoda; Insecta; Coleoptera; Curculionidae. The record is from RefSeq and is a predicted model, not a curated record.